Molecule: long non-coding RNA, 176 nt
Organism: Alosa sapidissima (American shad)
Lineage: Eukaryota; Metazoa; Chordata; Actinopteri; Clupeiformes; Clupeidae
Exons: 3
Source: RefSeq, a predicted model, not a curated record
ACAGCAAUGAAAGGGCUUUGUCUGAUUUGUUACAAAUGAGGAGUUGUUGUUAUUGAAAGGAUUGACAGGGACACCUAUGAGCUACAUAGCAAACAAGCCCCCAAUAGAUUAAGCAGUAGGUCAGGAGAAGUACUCUCUUGGAAGUGGCUUGAGUUACCAGCUCCUACUAUUGGACA